This 424-nucleotide long non-coding RNA is filed under the name Phasianus colchicus (ring-necked pheasant). RNAcentral describes it as "lncRNA (ENSPCLG00000000013.1)". The record is from RNAcentral. Lineage: Eukaryota; Metazoa; Chordata; Aves; Galliformes; Phasianidae.
CUGAAUUGUCAUCCAAAUGAGGGGAAGGACAAGAGCCAUGCUGGCAAAGCAUCUUCCUGCCUGCAUGGUACCCAACAACUUUGGGUGAAUUGCUGGUGUCUGAUGGUAGCAAUUGUAAGUUAGCAUCUGGCUCAGUCCUAUCGUUGUCAGAGCAGCAAAACUUGCACAUGUUCAAAAACAAUACAAUGGAAUAAUAACAUCUAGGAAUUGAUUAAAAAUUAGCAAUAAGGAUUAAACCCAGUGAUGAGACCCAAUGAGGAUAAUCCAACUUCCCAGGAAUUCAGUAAAAAAAAGAAGUUUGCUUCAGAAAACAACACAGUUUGAGACAUGACUUCAGAAAUACAAUGACAAAUAUGAACCAUUUAAUACAAUUUACUUUGAGAUGGAAGAAGAUAUUGUGUGUUGUUGGAAUGCUUGACAAUAG